RNAcentral lists this ribosomal RNA (253 nucleotides) under uncultured bacterium. RNAcentral's name for it is "partial 16S ribosomal RNA". It matches the Rfam family "Bacterial small subunit ribosomal RNA", at positions 524 to 776 of the family's 1533-position model. The record is from RNAcentral.
UACGUAGGGGGCAAGCGUUGUCCGGAAUCAUUGGGCGUAAAGAGCGCGUAGGCGGCCCUGUAAGUCCGCUGUGAAAGUCAAGGGCUCAACCCUUGGAUGCCGGUGGAUACUGCAGGGCUAGAGUCCGGAAGAGGCGAGUGGAAUUCCUGGUGUAGCGGUGAAAUGCGCAGAUAUCAGGAGGAACACCUAUUGCGAAGGCAGCUCGCUGGGACGUUACUGACGCUGAGACGCGAAAGCGUGGGGAGCAAACAGG